This 376-nucleotide ribosomal RNA is filed under the name uncultured archaeon. RNAcentral describes it as "bacterial SSU rRNA". It matches the Rfam family "Archaeal small subunit ribosomal RNA", at positions 347 to 727 of the family's 1478-position model. The record is from RNAcentral.
ACUUUACAAUGCGGGAAACCGUGAUAAGGGAACCCCGAGUGCCCGUAAAUUCGGGCUGUCCAUCAGCGUAAAUAACUGGUGAAGAAAGGGCCGGGCAAGACCGGUGCCAGCCGCCGCGGUAAUACCGGCGGCUCGAGUGGUGGCCACUAUUAUUGGGCUUAAAGCGUCCGUAGCUUGGUUGUUAAGUCUCUUGGGAAAUCUACCGGCUCAACCGGUAGGCGUUCAGGAGAUACUGGCAAUCUAGGGACCGGGAGAGGUGAGAGGUACUCCAGGGGUAGGAGUGAAAUCCUGUAAUCCUUGGGGGACCACCUGUGGCGAAGGCGUCUCACUAGAACGGCUCCGACAGUGAGGGACGAAAGCUGGGGGAGCAAACCGG